RNAcentral lists this long non-coding RNA (475 nucleotides) under Chinchilla lanigera (long-tailed chinchilla). Its description in RNAcentral is "lncRNA (ENSCLAG00000022511.1)". The record is from RNAcentral. Lineage: Eukaryota; Metazoa; Chordata; Mammalia; Rodentia; Chinchillidae.
GUUUUAAGCAAGUGGAAUCUUGGGAAAUGAAAAUCACAAAAGGUUCAUUAUGCUUCAUGUCUUCCUUGUCUCCCUGACUUCCGACGUAUGGAACGCUGUAUGGUCGAAACUUCCACGGUACGUCUUCAAGUAAGUUAAUAUGUGAAUGCUCGGGAUGCUUUACCUCCUUCAUCCCUCCGGAUGCGCACUGAAGGCCAUGCUUCUUCCUCACGCUGCGGAAAAGAGCCCCGAAGAGGUUUUGAGUAAGUGGCCUACAGUCACGUGGGACAGCCAUCGCUUGACCAGGUCUCAGUCAGUUCACGACCGACCAUUCCAUUCAGUUCAGCCCAGUUACCUGCUGAAGUUUACUGCCCAGUGCAUUUCUUUGCAGUCAAGUAAAAAUCAGAUCUCAUUGCCAACUAACUUCAACAUCUUCAGAAGCCUCCCACUGAGUCAUGAAGUCCGUGUCCCCUCUUUACUAGGCAGACUUUUGUGA